UCAUUCGGUUUCCAAAUGAGCCUGAUUUCUUCCCGGGUCCCCCCAUAAAUCCCGCAAUUAAUCCCACAUCCACCGUCCCACCUGACUCUCACCCCCAUCUUGACUGCCUCCGCGAGGCCGCCACAGCUCCAUUGCCGAGCUAACCACGCCCCUCGCUGAUCCGGUUCUCUCCUUCAGCGAUCUUCCAGUCCCACUGCGGCCGUGAGAUUCACCGCGCCGGUGUGGCAUCCCUCUGGUGGUUGCGCCUGCCAUUAUCCAUGGUACAAGCUCAGAACCCCCCUUGCCUUCCUGUUCCUCUCCCGUGUUGGUGUCCUAUGUGCCACCCAUGAUGUUCUCUCCUGCAUGGACAUCCCAAAGACGCUCUUAGGUGGCACAUGUGCUGGUCCUAUUGCUGCGUGUGAUGUGCCUUGCUGCUAAGCGUUGAUCCAGUUUGUUAGGAGAAAAGAAGAGAAAAGAAGCGGCGAAAGUGACACAGUCCAGUACAGAUCUCGCAUUGAAUCCUCCCCUAUAAGGGUUUCUCUGCCUACAACCUGAUGCAUUGUAAAGAUGCCGAGUACGCUACCACCAAGAUGUGGUGGUCUUAUUGAUGACGGCGAGCUCGCGUGCAUGUGAGAUAGUCCAGUCAGCGUGCUUGCGACGCUAACUAGACGGGUGGAAAAUAAUGUUGUUGUGAUAGC
Molecule: long non-coding RNA, 677 nt
Organism: Triticum dicoccoides
Lineage: Eukaryota; Viridiplantae; Streptophyta; Magnoliopsida; Poales; Poaceae
Exons: 3
Source: RefSeq, a predicted model, not a curated record